Long non-coding RNA from Marmota marmota marmota (Alpine marmot), 639 nucleotides. Lineage: Eukaryota; Metazoa; Chordata; Mammalia; Rodentia; Sciuridae. The record is from Ensembl.
GAAGUCCCGCCUGCCAGUCCACAGCGCGCUGGCGCGCUGACGGGCGUCCAUCUCCGCGGCGGUCGCCGCCUGGCCUUUUCAGCACCCUCGAAAAAGUUUCCCCGAAGUUUCCAGUAAAAAGAUGGUUGCAGCGGGACCGUGCCUAGAAAGAGCGUGAAGACAUGGCAGACAGAUUUCACAGACAUGGAUCAUAAGUUCACACAAAGAAGUCCUGAAGAUGCUGGGGCUGGACAGUGUGAAAGUAAACACAAACAAAAGAAAGAAAAAAAGCAAAACCCAAAACACCAUGAAUCUCAGUAUAAAUCAGUGAAAUAUGAUUCUUCAGAUAAUGAAUUGUUUCCUCGUGCAUCAUCUUCCUCAGGAUGCCAGACGGAUUCAAGCAAUGAAGGUUGUUUACCACCCUGUUAAGGUUUUUGCAUAUAUAACUUAAGUCAUUUUAAAAAAUUAAUUAAACCUCCUUCAUAAUUUGUUUAUUUGACUAAUAUUUAUUGAGCCUACCUAAUAUGUGCCAGACAUAAUGGUAAAUAUGGCAGGAGGUAAUGGUGCCAUAAUAAUGGUAAAUAUUUCUUCAGUCAAGGAACUUAUUUUAUAUUGGGCAAUACAAAUAAACAAAUAGUCUAUUACUGUGUAGAUGAAUGC